GAUUAUGGGCAAUUCUGAGCUUGAACUGGGACAUAAGCUUGUCUCUCCCAAAUAUAAUAGCUGAAAUAAGUGUAUGUGCUGGCAUAUCACACACAGCCAUCUCCUUACAGAAUAAGAAAUUUAGUAGCAUAUUCUUCAAAACACAGUUGUGUUGUUGUAGUAUGUAUUUUUUGUGCGUACAUACUACUUCUUCAAAAUCCACUCUGUAGUUUACACUAAAGCACAUCUGAAUUCAGAAUAGCCACAUUUCAAUUCCUUAGUAGCCAAACGUGAAUAGUUCUUACUAUAUUGCAUGUUGAAAUGGUCAUAUCUAAUUUUCUUUUGAAGUUUCAAGGUACUGUGUUCACUGCCAUAUUGUAAAUAUAUUCUUAUACAGUUGACCACUGAAAAGUACCAGUUUGAACUCUGCUGAUGCACUUAUGUGGAAUUUUUUCAAUAAAUACAGUCAGCUCUCCUUACCUGUGGAUUCUGCAUCCACUACCAAACACAGAUGGAAAAUAUAGUAUUCGUGGGAUGCAAACCCUUGUACAUAUUUCCUAUGGCAUCGGACCCCAAAGGGCUGACUAUGGACUUCAGUAUGUGUGGAUUUGGGUAUGGGUACUGGGGGCUGGUCCUGGAACCAAUCUCAUGUGUAUACCUAGGGACAAUUGUAUUUAAUUUUUACAAUUUGGGAAAUUAAAAUGCAUGGAUUAUAUUUCCAAUAAAACAAGCAAACUGAUUUUAAGAUAAUAUAAUGUUUUUGAUGAGCUAUAUAGCUCAGUUAAAAUUAUAAUCUAGUACAUUUUUACAUGUAAUUGUGUAUAAGCUGCCACAAUAGUAAUGAUAACUCAGUGGUAUUCAGUAGGCUCUUCUCAUGUGACAAAACAAAAUGGGAGAGAAUAGGGAUAAUUAUAGCUAGCUUAAUGUUACAGAUGUGCACAGAAUGAAUACAGGUUAUUUUGUUUGCAAUCUCAGCUUUUCUCGAUCUUAUUUAGGUAAUAAUGAUCUAUCUUGUGGUCAUAAAGAUAUUUUCCUGUAUUUUAUCAUAAAAGUUUUAGAAUUUUACUUUUCAUAUGUAGGCUUUUAAUGUACCUAAACUUUAUUUUUGUGUAUUGCAUCAAAAGAACCUAGUUUAAUUCAUUUCUCUUGGAUAACCAGUUGUCCCCAUGCUUAAUGAGUAGUGUAUUUUUCCCCACUGACUUGUAAUGCCACGUUUGUGUGUAUCCAGUUUCUCUGUGUGUGUGGUCCUAUUUCUGUGCCUUCUAUUUUGGUGCCUUACCUUAAUUAUCAGUCUGUGCACUGAUUCCACAUAGUAUUAAUCAUUCUAGCUCUAAAAUAAUGUUUGAUAUCUGAUAGGGAAAUACCUUCCCAUGUAAUUUUGUCUUCAGAAUUGUCUUGACUAUUCUUGUCCCUUUGUCCCUUCACAUGAAUUUAGAAUUAAUUUUUCUUAUUUGACCAAAAAAAA
This 1444-nucleotide long non-coding RNA is filed under the name Homo sapiens (human). RNAcentral describes it as "non-protein coding lnc-NETO2-3:1". Lineage: Eukaryota; Metazoa; Chordata; Mammalia; Primates; Hominidae. The record is from RNAcentral.